Molecule: ribosomal RNA, 445 nt
Filed under: uncultured bacterium
Lineage: Bacteria
Description: partial 16S ribosomal RNA
Rfam family: Bacterial small subunit ribosomal RNA
Source: RNAcentral
GUGAGGAAUAUUGGUCAAUGGGCGCAAGCCUGAACCAGCCAUCCCGCGUGCAGGAAGACGGCCCUAUGGGUUGUAAACUGCUUUUCCGGGGGGAGAAUUUUUCCGUCGUGACGGGAAUUGACGGUACCCCGGGAAUAAGCAUCGGCUAACUCCGUGCCAGCAGCCGCGGUAAUACGGAGGAUGCGAGCGUUAUCCGGAUUUAUUGGGUUUAAAGGGUGCGUAGGCGGAAUGAUAAGUCAGUGGUGAAAACCUGCAGCUUAACUGUAGACUUGCCGUUGAUACUGUCAGUCUUGAGUGUGGUCAAGGUAGGCGGAAUGUGUAAUGUAGCGGUGAAAUGCUUAGAUAUUACACAGAACACCGAUUGCGAAGGCAGCUUACCGGGCCAUUACUGACGCUGAUGCACGAAAGCGUGGGGAUCGAACAGGAUUAGAUACCCGUGUAGUCC